Molecule: long non-coding RNA, 318 nt
Organism: Passer domesticus (house sparrow)
Lineage: Eukaryota; Metazoa; Chordata; Aves; Passeriformes; Passeridae
Exons: 3
Source: RefSeq, a predicted model, not a curated record
CCCGGGACCCCGCCGGUGCCCGGUGCCGCUGUCCGGCCCGGGAGUUUCCACAGCGGCUUUUCCCUGCCCCGCGGGGGAAGGUCCUGCCUGGGAUGGAAAUGGCUAAAAAUAGAGGAAACAACAAUGCCAAAACCAGACACUGCCACGUGAGCCAAAGCAGCCAAAGCCUCGGGGUGGCCAAGGAGCACACCAAAUUAAUUUAAACCAGAAAGGAAAUGACAAACCGGAGAAAGAGCCAAAGGAAGCGCUCUCCCUUGAUACACCCUGCAGUUGCUAACUCCAAAGAAGCUUCCCCAACGGAUCAAAACCAAAGGUUCU